This 460-nucleotide ribosomal RNA is filed under the name Lachnospiraceae bacterium oral taxon 107. RNAcentral's name for it is "bacterial SSU rRNA". It matches the Rfam family "Bacterial small subunit ribosomal RNA", at positions 28 to 489 of the family's 1533-position model. The record is from RNAcentral. Lineage: Bacteria; Bacillati; Bacillota; Clostridia; Lachnospirales; Lachnospiraceae.
GAUGAACGCUGGCGGCGUGCUUAACACAUGCAAGUCGAACGAAGCUGCCUAGAGGAAGUUUUCGGAUGGAAUUUAGGUAGACUUAGUGGCGGACGGGUGAGUAACGCGUGGAUAACCUGCCUUAUACAGGGGGAUAACGGAGAGAAAUUUCCGCUAACACCGCAUAAGACCACAGCACCGCAUGGUGCAGGGGUAAAAUAUUUAUAGGUAUAAGAUGGAUCCGCGUCCGAUUAGCUUGUUGGUGAGGUAGAGGCUCACCAAGGCGACGAUCGGUAGCCGGCCUGAGAGGGUGAACGGCCACAUUGGGACUGAGACACGGCCCAAACUCCUACGGGAGGCAGCAGUGGGGAAUAUUGGACAAUGGGGGAAACCCUGAUCCAGCGACGCCGCGUGAGUGAAGAAGUAUUUCGGUAUGUAAAGCUCUAUCAGCAGGGAAGAAAAUGACGGACCUGGCUAAGAG